AUUCAACAGAGAGGAUGAUGGAGGAUUCGGGGGAAGCAUCCGAACCGCACCGGCGUCUUCGUCCUCAUCAUUGUCAACGCUUUCUUCGCCAGCCAAAUGCACAAGUACGCAAGCCUUCCCAAGAAAAUGACCUACAGCUGAGUGGAGAUGGCAAUGGAGAAAUAUGAGUGGCCAUCUUCAGUGAGGUGAAGAAAGGGAAUGCAUUUGGUGUUCCAGAUAUAUCCCCCCUCUAACGAAGCUGUCAGCUGUACAGCAUUCAUCUAAUGCUACUAUAAAGACCAAGAAAAGCACUUUUGAAGGGAGAAUUGUAAACCAAAUCUUGAUGCAGAGAAAGAGGCCAGGGAAUGUUGAGUUAAGCUUCCUUGAGAAAGAUUGAGCUGAAAAGAACCGGUGUGGUCCCAGGACCACAUUGCAUUCUGCUUAACCCAAAGAAUGUUUCUUGCUUUGAUUUAUUUUUUGUAGUAACUCAGACAUGAGUUCAAUUUCUUAAUCAUUCAUGUUUCAUUUUAGUAGUGUUCCAAAACAUUUCAUUAAUUAUGAAGCUUACGGCAUUCAGGCA
Molecule: long non-coding RNA, 559 nt
Organism: Nelumbo nucifera (sacred lotus)
Lineage: Eukaryota; Viridiplantae; Streptophyta; Magnoliopsida; Proteales; Nelumbonaceae
Source: RefSeq, a predicted model, not a curated record